Molecule: ribosomal RNA, 268 nt
Filed under: Lactococcus lactis
Lineage: Bacteria; Bacillati; Bacillota; Bacilli; Lactobacillales; Streptococcaceae
Description: partial 16S ribosomal RNA
Rfam family: Bacterial small subunit ribosomal RNA
Source: RNAcentral
UGCAAGUUGAGCCGCUGAAGGUUGGUACUUGUACCGACUGGAUGAGCAGCCGAACGGGUGAGUAACGCGUGGGGAAUCUGCCUUUGAGCGGGGGACAACAUUUGGAAACGAAUGCUAAUACCGCAUAAAAACUUUAAACACAAGUUUUAAGUUUGAAAGAUGCAAUUGCAUCACUCAAAGAUGAUCCCGCGUUGUAUUAGCUAGUUGGUGAGGUAAAGGCUCACCAAGGCGAUGAUACAUAGCCGACCUGAGAGGGUGAUCGGCCACU